CCUACGGGAGGCAGCAGUAGGGAAUCUUCCACAAUGGGCGAAAGCCUGAUGGAGCACCGCCGCGUGGGUGAAGAAGGUCUUCGGAUCGUAAAACCCUGUUGUUAGAGAAGAAAGUGCGUGAGAGUAACUGUUAACGUUUCGACGGUAUCUAACCAGAAAGCCACGGCUAACUACGUGCCAGCAGCCGCGGUAAUACGUAGGUGGCAAGCGUUAUCCGGAUUUAUUGGGCGUAAAGGGAACGCAGGCGGUCUUCUAAGUCUGAUGUGACAGCCUUCGGCUUAACCGGAGUAGUGCAUUGGAAACUGGGAGACUUGAGUGCAGAAGAGGAGAGUGGAACUCCAUGUGUAGCGGUGAAAUGCGUAGAUAUAUGGAAGAACACCAGUGGCGAAGGCGGCUCUCUGGUCUGUAACUGACGCUGAGGUUCGAAAGCGUGGGUAGCAAACAGGAUUAGAUACCCUGGUAGUC
Molecule: ribosomal RNA, 465 nt
Filed under: uncultured bacterium
Lineage: Bacteria
Description: partial 16S ribosomal RNA
Rfam family: Bacterial small subunit ribosomal RNA
Source: RNAcentral